RNAcentral lists this ribosomal RNA (543 nucleotides) under Bacillus sp. BGUMS93. RNAcentral describes it as "bacterial SSU rRNA". It matches the Rfam family "Bacterial small subunit ribosomal RNA", at positions 60 to 590 of the family's 1533-position model. Lineage: Bacteria; Bacillati; Bacillota; Bacilli; Caryophanales; Bacillaceae. The record is from RNAcentral.
AGUCGAGCGGACAGAUGGGAGCUUGCUCCCUGAUGUUAGCGGCGGACGGGUGAGUAACACGUGGGUAACCUGCCUGUAAGACUGGGAUAACUCCGGGAAACCGGGGCUAAUACCGGAUGCUUGUUUGAACCGCAUGGUUCAAACAUAAAAGGUGGCUUCGGCUACCACUUACAGAUGGACCCGCGGCGCAUUAGCUAGUUGGUGAGGUAAUGGCUCACCAAGGCAACGAUGCGUAGCCGACCUGAGAGGGUGAUCGGCCACACUGGGACUGAGACACGGCCCAGACUCCUACGGGAGGCAGCAUAGGGAAUCUUCCGCAAUGGACGAAAGUCUGACGGAAAACGCCGCGUGAGUGAUGAAGGUUUUCGUAUCGUAAAGCUCUGUUGUUAGGGAAGAACAAGUACCGUUCAAUAGGGCGGUACCUUGACGGUACCUAACCAGAAUGCCACGCUAACUACAUGCCAUCAGCCCCGGUAAUACGUAGUUGGCAAGCGUUGUCCGAAAUAUUGGGCGUAAAGGGCUCGCAGGGGGCUUCUUAAGUCU